UAUCGAAUUAUUAGCGAAAAACACAA
This 26-nucleotide non-coding RNA is filed under the name Bacillus methanolicus MGA3. Lineage: Bacteria; Bacillati; Bacillota; Bacilli; Caryophanales; Bacillaceae. The record is from RNAcentral.